This is a non-coding RNA of Cinara cedri, 676 nucleotides long. The record is from the annotation of a GenBank genome assembly. NCBI's taxonomy places the organism in Eukaryota, Metazoa, Arthropoda, Insecta, Hemiptera, Aphididae.
UUUUCUGUGAACAGCUUUUCUAAUAGACAUUUAGCUCCAAUUUUCAAGUCAGGCACUUCUUCCGAAAGAAAAUCUGACUCUCAUGGUACUUUAAGAAAGUAAUUUUUUGAUUUUCCCAGCUGUUUCAUAAUCAAUGGGAAAAAAUAAGAAAACGUACUAAAUGUAUCAGUAAAAUAUUACGGCCUUUUUUUCUUGUGAACAAAUUUUCUGCUAGCAAUUUUUUCCAAUCAAGUUUUCACAAUAAUUUGGAAAAAUCAGAAAAAAAAUUAUAUGAAAAACUGACGAAUUUACGGUAAUAGAAGAUUCAGCAAUGGUUAGCAAUGGUAGCAAUGGUUUAUCGUUGCUUACAGAUAUAAAUUAAAUAACUUUAUGUAUCUAUCUACUAAAUAUUAUUGUAAUCGGUCUAUAAUUUUAAAAACUAAAAGUAAAGGACAACGAGCACCCAAUACUCCCGAUAUUUGCGCUACUGUCUACAACAGCAUAUACUAUACCACUGAAUGCAUUGCUAAUAAAAUUCUACAAUUGUAUAAUAUGAUUGUGUAACAAUUGUUUACACUUUACAUUUAAUGAUCAACAACCCCAAAAAUGUAAUCCGACAAUAGAUUAUAGUUCAAAAGAACUGUAUCUCGAAGAAAACAAUAUAAAUGAUGUAUAACUCGAAAACCAGCCAACAAGA